GUUAGACACAGAUGGGGUCAGAGACAGAUGAGGUCAGAGACGGAUGGGGUCAGAGAUGGAUGAGGUCAGAGACGGAUGGGGUCAGAGACAGAUGGGGUCAGAGACAGAUGAGGUCAGACACAGAUGGGGUCAGAGACAGAUGGGGUCAGACACAGAUGGGGUCAGAGACAGAUGGGGUCAGACACAGAUGGGGUCAGAGACAGAUGAGGUCAGAGACAGAUGAGGUCAGAGACAGAUGGGGUCAGAGACAGAUGAGGUCAGAGACAGAUGGGGUCAGAGACAGAUGAGGUCAGAGACAGAUGGGGUCAGAGACAGAUGGGGUCAGACACAGAUGGGGUCAGAGACAGAUGAGGUC
Brienomyrus brachyistius is the source of this 355-nucleotide long non-coding RNA. RefSeq lists it as uncharacterized. Lineage: Eukaryota; Metazoa; Chordata; Actinopteri; Osteoglossiformes; Mormyridae. The record is from RefSeq and is a predicted model, not a curated record. The transcript is spliced from 3 exons.